UCUUGAGUACUAUCUAUUUAA
RNAcentral lists this non-coding RNA (21 nucleotides) under Caenorhabditis elegans. The record is from RNAcentral. Lineage: Eukaryota; Metazoa; Nematoda; Chromadorea; Rhabditida; Rhabditidae.